CCAAUAGCGUAUAUUAAAGUUGUUGCAGUUAAAAAGCUCGUAGUUGAAUUUCGGGGUUAGUAGGUUGGUCAUGCCUCUGGUAUGUACUGGUCUCACUGAUUCCUCCUUCCUGAUGAACCGUAAUGCCAUUAAUUUGGUGUUGCGGGGAAUUUGGACUGUUACUUUGAAAAAAUUAGAGUGUUUAAAGCAAGCUAACGCUUGAAUACAUUAGCAUGGAAUAAUGAAAUAGGACGUUCGAUCCUAUUUUGUUGGUUUCUAGGAUUGACGUAAUGAUUAAUAGGGAAUAUUGGGGCAUUAGUAUUCAAUUGUCAGAGGUGAAAUUCUUGGAUUUAUUGAAGACUAACUACUGCGAAAGCAUUUGCCAAGGAUGUUUUCAUUAAUCAAGAACGAAAGUUAGGGGAUCGAAGACGAUUAGAUACCGUCGUAGUCUUAACCAUAAACUAUGCCGACUAGGGAUCGGAUGAUGUUAAUUUUUUAAUGACUCAUUCGGCGCCUUACG
RNAcentral lists this ribosomal RNA (499 nucleotides) under uncultured Glomeromycotina. RNAcentral's name for it is "partial small subunit ribosomal RNA". It matches the Rfam family "Eukaryotic small subunit ribosomal RNA", at positions 591 to 1092 of the family's 1831-position model. The record is from RNAcentral. Lineage: Eukaryota; Fungi; Glomeromycota.